This 2037-nucleotide ribosomal RNA is filed under the name human gut metagenome. RNAcentral describes it as "bacterial LSU rRNA". It matches the Rfam family "Bacterial large subunit ribosomal RNA", at positions 530 to 2558 of the family's 2925-position model. The record is from RNAcentral.
GGAGGGGAGUGAAAUAGAACCUGAAACCGUAUGUCUACAAGCAGUCGAAGCACUUUAUAUGUGCGACGGCGUGCCUAUUGAAGAAUGAACCGGCGAGUUAUCCGUUGUGGCGAGGUUAAGUGGAAGACACGGAGCCGAAGCGAAAGCGAGUCUUAAUAGGGCGGCAAGUCACAGCGGGUAGACCCGAAACCACAGUGAUCUAUGCAUGGCCAGGUUGAAGCUCAGGUAAAAAUGAGUGGAGGACCGAACCCGUGAGUGUUGAAAAACUUUGGGAUGAGCUGUGCAUAGGGGUGAAAUGCCAAUCGAACGUGGAGAUAGCUGGUUCUCCCCGAAAUAGCUUUAGGGCUAGCCUCAGGGAAUGCACAUAGACGGUAGAGCUCUGAUCGGGCUAGGGGGCGUAAAGCCUACCGACCCCAGUCAAACUGCGAAUGGCUAUGUGAGAAGAACCUGGGAGUCAGACUGCGAGUGAUAAGACCCGUAGUCAAGAGGGAAACAGCCCAGACCGCCGACUAAGGUCCCCAAUGCUGUACUAAGUGGAAAAGGAUGUAGGACUUCAGAAACAACCAGGAUGUUGGCUCAGAAGCAGCCACCAUUUAAAGAGUGCGUAAUAGCUCACUGGUCGAGAGGCCCUGCGCCGAAAAUAUCCGGGGCUCAAGUACAGAACCGAAGUCGCGGCAUGCGCAAGCAUGGGUAGGGGAGCGUUGAAACAGCGGAGAAGGCGUACCGGAAGGAGCGCUGGAGCGGUUUCAAGAGAGAAUGCCGGUAUGAGUAGCGAAAAGGACGGUGAGAAUCCGUCCCACCGAAAGCCUAAGGUUUCCUGAGCAACGCUCGUCGACUCAGGGUAAGUCGGGACCUAAGCCGAGGCAGCAAGCAUAGGCGAUGGACAACAGGCUAAUAUUCCUGUACCCGCAGGUUUUGUUUGAGCAAUGGAGUGACGCAGGAGAAAGUGGGAGCUGGCUGCUGGAUUAGCCAGUCGAAGGCUGCAGGCUGCGGAGGAGGCAAAUCCCUUCCGUAACGGCUCAGAGCUGAUAGAUAGAUGACCCUCGGGGAGUCAAAUUUCCAUGAAUCACACUGCCGAGAAAAGCUUCUAGUGAGAAACUUGUGGCCCGUACCAAAACCGACACAGGUAGGCGGGGAGAGUAUCCUAAGGUGCGCGGGAAAACCCUCGUUAAGGAACUCGGCAAAAUGCAUCCGUAACUUCGGGAUAAGGAUGACCGGAGCUGGUGAACUCCCUGCGGAGGAAGCUGGAGCCGGUGGCAGAAGAGAGGCCCAAGCGACUGUUUACCAUAAACACAGGUGCCUGCUAAAGAGAAAUCUGACGUAUAGGUGCUGACACCUGCCCGGUGCUGGAAGGUUAAGAGGAGGGGUCAGGCUAAGGCUGAAGCUCUGAAUUGAAGCCCCAGUAAACGGCGGCCGUAACUAUAACGGUCCUAAGGUAGCGAAAUUCCUUGUCGGGUAAGUUCCGACCCGCACGAAAGGUGUAACGAUUUGGGCACUGUCUCAACGAGGGACCCGGUGAAAUUGAAAUACCUGUGAAGAUGCAGGUUACCCGCGACUGGACAGAAAGACCCCAUGGAGCUUUACUGCAGCUUGGCAUUGAUCUUUGGCAUGUAAUGUACAGGAUAGGUGGGAGACUUGGAAGCAGGGACGCAAGUCACUGUGGAGUCGCUGUUGGGAUACCACCCUUUGCAUGCUAGGGAUCUAACCCUGGGACUAACAAAACCGGGGACAGUGCCAGGCGGGCAGUUUGACUGGGGCGGUCGCCUCCGAAAGAGUAACGGAGGCGUCCAAAGGUUCCCUCAGCGCGGACAGAAAUCGCGCGAAGAGUAUAAAGGCAGAAGGGAGCUUGACUGCGAGACUGACGGGUCGAGCAGGUACGAAAGUAGGGCUUAGUGAUCCGGUGGAAUGAAAGUGGAAUUGCCAUCGCUCAACGGAUAAAAGCUACCCUGGGGAUAACAGGCUAAUCUCUCCCAAGAGUCCAUAUCGACGGGGAGGUUUGGCACCUCGAUGUCGGCUCAUCACAUCCUGGGGCUGAAG